CUGUCAACUGCUAACUGCAGUGCCACCCUCAUUGCAGGCCUAAACAGAACACUGCCAUGGGACCCACAGGAGUUAAACCUGUUGGGGUCCAUGAGAAUUGGGAACACGUCAGGCAAUUGGACUCAAACAUGUAUCUAUUUUGGGGGACGCAUGCAGCCUUACCGGUUAUUUAACUGGACAGGGUGGACGAACGUCACCCCAACAGCAGUCUAUUAUGAUUAUCAAAACCAUGAUUCCUUCUGUGGCACCAAUGGCACCAGCCACCAGGGGCUGGGAGCCCUUGGGGCUGAGGCCAAAAAGGGGCACUUAAUUUGGAACAAUGGUACCCCAAAGGCCUUGCCACCAGACGUCUUUUUGAUAUGUGGUGACCGGGCCUGGCAGGGAAUUCCAAAAAGGGUAAUGGGUGGUCCAUGUUAUCUUGGUAAGCUGACAUUACUAGCACCCGAUCAAAAUUGGUGGAAACAUAUCACGGAGAAUGAGACCGCCGUCCGCAGUAAACGAGCAGCCAUAGGGCUCUCACCUGAUUGUAAUGAUCAAGUUUCCCUACGCAGUCCCACUGAAAGAGUGUUUUUGUCCUUCUUCGUGCCUGGAGCAGCGGCAGGCAACACCCUGAACCAGAUCGGCCGGUUAGCUUGCUGGGCUGAGAAGCAAGCUAACGUCACCACUGAGAUAAUAGAGAGCCUAUUAGAGGAUCAAGGUAGUUUGCGACAUGCUAUUYUGCAAAAUAGAGCUGCAAUUGAUUUUUUGCUAUUAGCUCAAGGCCAUGGUUGUGAGGAUUUUGAAGGUAUGUGUUGCAUGAAUUUGUCUGAUCAUGGUGAAUCAAUUCAUAAACAAUUGCAGUGGUUGAAGGAACAUACAAGCAAGAUCCGUCAGAACCAUGGGGUAUUUGACGAAUGGCUAACUAACCUGUUUGGAAAUCUACCACAAUGGCUAACAGGAUUACUUACUGAAGGCUUACGCAUUUUACUAAUCCUUGUAGUUGUCAGUUUGUGCUUAUGUGUAGUACUGAGCUGCUUCAAGAACGCUCUGCUAAAGGUAGUGAACCACGCCUGGAUUGCUCAAAAACAAGAGGGGGAAAUGAUGGAGGAAUGGUUAUGGGAAUAGUUAAGUGAGAGAGAGCAUGCUCUGAUUGGGAUGAGCAAUCCCGUCUUCGGGGUAGAGGAAGGAAUCUAGGCCAAGGCAAGCAAGCCUGCUGAAGGCGGCCUUAUCUAGGCCAAGGCAAGCGAGCCUGCUGAAGCCUGCUGAAAGUGGCCGUAUAGCGGCCUUGAG
Long non-coding RNA from Apteryx rowi (Okarito brown kiwi), 1269 nucleotides. The record is from Ensembl. NCBI's taxonomy places the organism in Eukaryota, Metazoa, Chordata, Aves, Apterygiformes, Apterygidae.